RNAcentral lists this non-coding RNA (29 nucleotides) under Mus musculus (house mouse). Lineage: Eukaryota; Metazoa; Chordata; Mammalia; Rodentia; Muridae. The record is from RNAcentral.
UGUAAAAUAGACAUUUGUAGGCUGGUGUG